This 991-nucleotide non-coding RNA is filed under the name Trichobilharzia regenti. RNAcentral describes it as "Eukaryotic large subunit ribosomal RNA". It matches the Rfam family "Eukaryotic large subunit ribosomal RNA", at positions 766 to 1663 of the family's 3401-position model. The record is from Rfam by way of RNAcentral. Lineage: Eukaryota; Metazoa; Platyhelminthes; Trematoda; Strigeidida; Schistosomatidae.
ACUAGGGUGUAUUAUAGUGAAGUCCAGUAGGCAAAGCUUCUGACCCGAAGGAUGGUAAACUAUGCUUGUAAAGGAUGAAGCCAGAGGAAACUCUGGUGGAGGACCAUAGCGAUCCUGACGUGCAAAUCGAUCGUAUAACGUGAAUGUAGGGCGAAAGAGUAAUCGAAUCAUUUAGUAGCUGGUUCCCUGUGAAGUUUCCCUCAGGAUAGCUGUCAUUCUGAGAUAUAAACAGUUUGAUCCGGUAAAGCGAAUGAUUAGAGGCAUUGGGGAGAAAACAUCUUCAACCUAUUCUCAAACUUUAAAUUGGCGAGAAGCUUAACUCGCUUAAAUAGAGUUUUGCAUUGAAUGUGGUUGCCAAGUGGGCCAUUUUUGGUAAGCAGAACUGGCGCUGUGGGAUGAACCAAACCUGCGAUUAAGGUGCCUAACGUGAUGCUCAUGAGAUACCACAAAAGGUGUUGGUAGGUCCAGACAGCAGGACAGUGACCAUAGAAGUCGGAAACCGCUAAGGAGUGUGUAACGACUCACCUACCGAAUUAACCAGCCCUGAAAAUGGAUGGGGCUCGAACGUUGGACCUAUACUGUACCGUUGCAGCAAGCUGGGCCUAAGCAUGGUGAGAGCAAACUGAAUUGGCCCAGGCAUGGAGUGGAGGCGACAAGUAGGAGAGUCGCUGUGGCUAGCGGGAAGCCUCAGGCGUAAGCCUUGGUGAAGCAAGCACAGGCGCAGAUCUUGGUGGUAGUAGUGAAUAUUCAAGUAAGAACCUUGAAAUCCGAAGUGGAGAAGGGCUCCAUGGGAACAGCAGUUGGCCAUGGGUCAGGCGGUCCUAAGUGAUCCGCUAAAUCAGAACAGAAACGGGGUGCCUGAAACUGUCCGCUUGCAGGCUUUGCUGGUAUUGCUGCUGUCGGAAAGGGCUGAAAUUUGAACAAAAAGGGAUUCACAGAAUUUCUUCAUAUUUUACCCAGUGGAGAUUUCUGAUAUAGUAAUAAUUUUGCU